Molecule: ribosomal RNA, 403 nt
Filed under: Fusobacteriota bacterium
Lineage: Bacteria; Fusobacteriati; Fusobacteriota
Description: Fusobacteria bacterium partial 16S ribosomal RNA
Rfam family: Bacterial small subunit ribosomal RNA
Source: RNAcentral
UGGGGAAUAUUGCACAAUGGAGGGAACUCUGAUGCAGCGACGCCGCGUGAACGAAGAAGGCUUUCGAGUCGUAAAGUUCUUUUAUAUGGGAAGAUAAUGACGUUACCAUAAGAAAAAGCCCCGGCUAACUACGUGCCAGCAGCCGCGGUAAUACGUAGGGGGCUAGCGUUGUCCGGAAUCACUGGGCGUAAAGGGUUCGCAGGCGGAAAUGCAAGUCAGGUGUAAAAGGCAUUAGCUUAACUACUGUAAGCAUUUUAAACUGCAUAUCUUGAGAAGAGUAGAGGUAAGUCGAAUUUUUAGUGUAGAGGUGAAAUGCGUAGAUAUUAAAAAGAAUACCGGUUGCGAAGGCGACUUACUGGCCUCAUACUGACGCUGAGGAACGAAAGCGUGGGUAGCAAACAGG